Molecule: transfer RNA, 75 nt
Filed under: Parcubacteria group bacterium ADurb.Bin216
Lineage: Bacteria
Description: tRNA-Gly
Rfam family: tRNA
About the family: Transfer RNA (tRNA) molecules are approximately 80 nucleotides in length. Their secondary structure includes four short double-helical elements and three loops (D, anti-codon, and T loops).
Source: RNAcentral
GCGUGGAUAGUUCAAUGGUAGAAUAGGACGUUGCCAACGUCUAGACGAGGGUUCGAUUUCCCUCUCCCCGCACCA